GAUGAACGCUGGCGGCGUGCCUAAUACAUGCAAGUCGAGCGAACAGAUGAGGAGCUUGCUCCUCUGACGUUAGCGGCGGACGGGUGAGUAACACGUGGAUAACCUACCUAUAAGACUGGGAUAACUUCGGGAAACCGGAGCUAAUACCGGAUAAUAUAUUGAACCGCAUGGUUCAAUAGUGAAAGACGGUUUUGCUGGCACUUGUGGAUGGAUCCGCGCCGCAUUAGCUAGUUGGUAGGGUAACGGCUUACCAAGGCAAUGAUGCGUAGCCGGCCUGAGAGGGUGACCGGCCACAUUGGGACUGAGAUACGGCCCAGACUCCUACGGGAGGCAGCAGUGGGGAAUAUUGCAAAAUGGGCGGAAGCCUGAUGCAGCAACGCCGCGUGCGGGAUGACGGCCUUCGGGUUGUAAACCGCUUUCGCCUGUGACGAAGCGUGAGUGACGGUAAUGGGUAAAGAAGCACCGGCUAACUACGUG
Molecule: ribosomal RNA, 477 nt
Filed under: uncultured bacterium
Lineage: Bacteria
Description: partial 16S ribosomal RNA
Rfam family: Bacterial small subunit ribosomal RNA
Source: RNAcentral